GAUCCUGGCUCAGGAUGAACGCUGGCGGCGUGCUUAACACAUGCAAGUCGAGCGAAGCACUUAAGUUUGAUUCUUCGGAUUGAAAUUUUAGUGACUGAGUGGCGGACGGGUGAGUAACGCGUGGGUAACCUGCCUCACACAGGGGGAUAACAGUUGGAAACGGCUGCUAAUACCGCAUAAGCGCACAGGACCGCAUGGUCCGGUGUGAAAAACUCCGGUGGUAUAGGAUGGACCCGCGUUGGAUUAG
This 247-nucleotide ribosomal RNA is filed under the name uncultured bacterium. RNAcentral's name for it is "partial 16S ribosomal RNA". It matches the Rfam family "Bacterial small subunit ribosomal RNA", at positions 15 to 244 of the family's 1533-position model. The record is from RNAcentral.